CUCAACUCUGGGCGUGCAUUUGAAACUGGGUUGCUAGAGUGCAGGAGAGGAAAGUGGAAUUCCUAGUGUAGCGGUGAAAUGCGUAGAGAUUAGGAGGAACACCAGUGGCGAAGGCGACUUUCUGGACUGUAACUGACGCUGAGGCGCGAAAGCGUGGGGAGCAAACAGGAUUAGAUACCCUGGUAGUCCACGCCGUAAACGAUGAGAACUAGAUGUUGCGGGGGUUUGCCCCGUGGUGUCGCGGCUAACGCGUUAAGUUCUCCGCCUGGGGAGUACGCCGGCAACGGUAAAACUCAAGGGAAUUGACGGGGACCCGCACAAGCGGUGGAGCAUGUGGUUUAAUUCGAUGCAACGCGAAGAACCUACCUGCCCUUGACAUGUCCGGAACCCUGCAGAGAUGCGGGGGCGCCUUCGGGAACCG
RNAcentral lists this ribosomal RNA (421 nucleotides) under uncultured bacterium. RNAcentral describes it as "bacterial SSU rRNA". It matches the Rfam family "Bacterial small subunit ribosomal RNA", at positions 608 to 1029 of the family's 1533-position model. The record is from RNAcentral.